AGGGGAGUGGUAUAAUUGGAGUAUAUUGCACCUGGAAGCUACAAGGCUGUUGGUUCGAAUCCGGCCUCCCUCA
This is a non-coding RNA of Trichocladium antarcticum, 73 nucleotides long. Lineage: Eukaryota; Fungi; Ascomycota; Sordariomycetes; Sordariales; Chaetomiaceae. The record is from the annotation of a GenBank genome assembly.